UCAAAAACAUCUCUUUCUGAGGUAAGUAUAGAAAGUAGGCCCUGCCCGGUGAAUUUUUAUUUUAAACGGAAAUUAAAUUUUAAAGUAGCGUAAUAGUUUGUCCCUUAAUUAGGGUCUGGAAUGAAGGGGUUGACGAGAGGAUAGCUGUCUUUGGAGGAUUUUUUGAAAUUUUCUUCUUAGUGAAAAGCCUGAGAUGAUUAUAAAAGACGAGAAGACCCCGUCGAGCUUAAUCUAAUGAUUAGGGGCUUCAAGAUUGAGGCUGCUUUUUAUGAAAGUUUGUUGGGAUAACAACGGAGAAGUUAAAUCUCUGUUUAGAAUGGUACGUGUAUCCAGUUUUAUUGAAUUAGGAAAAAGUUACCGCGGGGAUAACAGCGCAAGACCACUGUAGAGUUCGUAUCUAAGGUGGUAGGUGCGACCUCGAUGUUGGAUUAGGGUUACUUUUUGGCGCA
RNAcentral lists this ribosomal RNA (449 nucleotides) under Freneixicardia victor. Its description in RNAcentral is "partial 16S ribosomal RNA". It matches the Rfam family "Bacterial large subunit ribosomal RNA", at positions 1807 to 2557 of the family's 2925-position model. The record is from RNAcentral. Lineage: Eukaryota; Metazoa; Mollusca; Bivalvia; Cardiida; Cardiidae.